Zea mays is the source of this 230-nucleotide long non-coding RNA. RefSeq lists it as uncharacterized. The transcript has 3 exons. The record is from RefSeq and is a predicted model, not a curated record. NCBI's taxonomy places the organism in Eukaryota, Viridiplantae, Streptophyta, Magnoliopsida, Poales, Poaceae.
GAUGGUACUCUCUCAGUGUCCAGUAGUGUUCACCAUUUCGCUUGGGAAACAUCGGUUUCAGAAGAAUGAACCUGUUUUCCAUAUUCAGGCAGUGGUUCAUCAGACGAAAGCCUCCCCUACCGAUCACAACUCAUGGUUGUAUCAUGGUAUCACCAGAUCAAGCAACAAAAAUAUACAAGGCCAUGAAGGACAAGGGCCUUCCCGUUGAUUUGGUUGAGUGUGAAGGGGAA